RNAcentral lists this ribosomal RNA (251 nucleotides) under uncultured prokaryote. RNAcentral describes it as "partial 16S rRNA". It matches the Rfam family "Bacterial small subunit ribosomal RNA", at positions 525 to 775 of the family's 1533-position model. The record is from RNAcentral.
ACGUAGGGGGCGAGCGUUAUUCGGAAUUACUGGGUGUAAAGGGUAUGUAGGCGGCCCUUCAAGUCGCGUGUCAAAGUCCAGUGCUCAACGCUGGGUGUGCACGCGAUACUGACGGGCUUGAGUGCUGGAGAGGUGAGCGGAAUUCCCGGUGUAGUGGUAAAAUACGUAGAGAUCGGGAGGAACACCGGUGGCGCAGGCGACUCACUGGACCGUUACUGACGCUGAGAUGCGAAAGCGUGGGGAGCAAACAG